This 789-nucleotide ribosomal RNA is filed under the name Methanoculleus sp. enrichment culture clone A5_6. Its description in RNAcentral is "bacterial SSU rRNA". It matches the Rfam family "Archaeal small subunit ribosomal RNA", at positions 85 to 879 of the family's 1478-position model. The record is from RNAcentral. Lineage: Archaea; Methanobacteriati; Methanobacteriota; Methanomicrobia; Methanomicrobiales; Methanomicrobiaceae.
ACUGCUCAGUAACACGUGGAUAACCUGCCCUAAGGAAGGGGAUAACCUCGGGAAACUGAGGAUAAUACCCUGUAGGUUACAGAUGCUGGAAUGCCCUGUAACCGAAAGCUCCGGCGCCUUAGGAUGGAUCUGCGGCCGAUUAGGUUGUUGUUGGGGUAACGGCCCAACAAGCCGAUAAUCGGUACGGGUUGUGGGAGCAAGAGCCCGGAGUUGGAUUCUGAGACACGAAUCCAGGCCCUACGGGGCGCAGCAGGCGCGAAAACUUUACAAUGCGGGAAACCGUGAUAAGGGAACCCCGAGUGCCUGUAUAUGCAGGCUGUCCAGGUGUCUAAAAAACACCUGAAGAAAGGGCCGGGCAAGACCGGUGCCAGCCGCCGCGGUAAUACCGGCGGCUCGAGUGGUGGCCACUUUUAUUGGGCUUAAAGCGUUCGUAGCUGGGUUGUUAAGUCUCUUGGGAAAUCUGACGGCUUAACCGUCAGGCGUCUAAGAGAUACUGGCAAUCUUGGAACCGGGAGAGGUGAGGGGUACUUCGGGGGUAGGAGUGAAAUCCUGUAAUCCUCGAGGGACCACCUGUGGCGAAGGCGCCUCACCAGAACGGCUUCGACAGUGAGGGACGAAAGCUGGGGGAGCAAACCGGAUUAGAUACCCGGGUAGUCCCAGCCGUAAACGAUGCGCGUUAGGUGUAUCGGUGACCACGAGUCACCGAGGUGCCGAAGGGAAACUGUGAAACGUGCCGCCUGGGAAGUACGGUCGCAAGGCUGAAACUUAAAGGAAUUGGCGGGGGAGCAC